RNAcentral lists this ribosomal RNA (464 nucleotides) under uncultured Klebsiella sp. RNAcentral describes it as "bacterial SSU rRNA". It matches the Rfam family "Bacterial small subunit ribosomal RNA", at positions 338 to 795 of the family's 1533-position model. The record is from RNAcentral. Lineage: Bacteria; Pseudomonadati; Pseudomonadota; Gammaproteobacteria; Enterobacterales; Enterobacteriaceae.
CCUACGGGGGGCUGCAGUGGGGAAUAUUGCACAAUGGGCGCAAGCCUGAUGCAGCCAUGCCGCGUGUGUGAAGAAGGCCUUCGGGUUGUAAAGCACUUUCAGCGGGGAGGAAGGCGUUAAGGUUAAUAACCUUGGCGAUUGACGUUACCCGCAGAAGAAGCACCGGCUAACUCCGUGCCAGCAGCCGCGGUAAUACGGAGGGUGCAAGCGUUAAUCGGAAUUACUGGGCGUAAAGCGCACGCAGGCGGUCUGUCAAGUCGGAUGUGAAAUCCCCGGGCUCAACCUGGGAACUGCAUUCGAAACUGGCAGGCUAGAGUCUUGUAGAGGGGGGUAGAAUUCCAGGUGUAGCGGUGAAAUGCGUAGAGAUCUGGAGGAAUACCGGUGGCGAAGGCGGCCCCCUGGACAAAGACUGACGCUCAGGUGCGAAAGCGUGGGGAGCAAACAGGAUUAGAUACCCUAGAGUC